AGCAAGUUGCUAGAGUGGCCUGCCACAGUGUAAGUUUUGUUCUUUAGCUCUUUGCAAUAAAUCUUGCUACUGCCCACUCUUUGGGUUUACACUGCAUUUAUGAGCUGUAACACUCAUGGUGAAGAUUUACAGGUUCAGUCCUGAAGCCAGCGAGACAAAGAACCCACUGGGAAGAACAAACAACUCCAGACGCCCCAACUUAAGAGCUGUUAACACCCGAAGAUCUGCAGCUUCACUUUUGAGCCAGCGAGACCACGAACCCACCAGAAGGAAGAAACUCUGAACAGGCUGGAACGUCAGAAGGAACAAACUCAGGACAUGCCACCUUUAAGAACUGUAACACUCACUGUGAGGGUCUGCGGCUUCAUUCUUGAAGGCUGUGAGACCAAGAACCCACCAAUUUCGGACACACUGGGACCACCCUCGCUGACUGGAGGUGGUACGGUUCAUCUGGACCA
Molecule: long non-coding RNA, 458 nt
Filed under: Homo sapiens (human)
Lineage: Eukaryota; Metazoa; Chordata; Mammalia; Primates; Hominidae
Description: non-protein coding lnc-F11-2:13
Source: RNAcentral